GGUCCAGUAGUGUAGUUGGUUAUCACAGCGGAUUCUGAAUUCAGGAUCUUCCGCUAACCUGGGUUCGACUCCCAGCCGGACCU
Molecule: non-coding RNA, 83 nt
Organism: Ascodesmis nigricans
Lineage: Eukaryota; Fungi; Ascomycota; Pezizomycetes; Pezizales; Ascodesmidaceae
Source: the annotation of a GenBank genome assembly